This is a long non-coding RNA of Daucus carota subsp. sativus, 872 nucleotides long. RefSeq lists it as uncharacterized. The record is from RefSeq and is a predicted model, not a curated record. The transcript is spliced from 7 exons. Lineage: Eukaryota; Viridiplantae; Streptophyta; Magnoliopsida; Apiales; Apiaceae.
GUAUUUCAUCGUGUCAUGAGAUUUGCGUGUUUUGGUUGCGUUCUUGACAGGAAGUUUUAACUGAUUGUUCUGUUAUUUUUACAAACAGGUCGUAAGCGCAUCCCUCUAGGUGCUAUUUCUCCUUCCUCCACAAGAACCGUUUCACGUCUUGGAACUCCAACUCCCACCAAUAUUUCUUGCCAAAUUCCAUUACAUUCUACCCAAGGAACAGUUCCAAUAAUCCAAAUCGCUCUGAAGUCAAUCAUCCAGUCCAUGGGUUUCAGACAUCAACUCAAACCUCAUGUUCCAAUACUACACCUGGUACUUGGUCUCAAAUCACUAAUCGAAGUCAUGGAGUCAGGAAUUCAACUCAGACAGAAGGCACUACCGGUCUUGGUGGUAGUCAAGGAUAUCUGCCACCAUCAUAGAGGCGGCUGCAUGACAUUGAUCUUUCUGAGUGCAGUUUCAUCCCAGUGCGGAACCAAAUAAGCUGUAAAAUAUAGCUCAGUGAUAUGAUCAGUAGUUUAGCACAAGCUGAUUCUGCGGACACCUCUGACUCUUCAUAUGAUGCUCCAAACGUGUAUGCACUCAGGUUAGUUUAUAUUGCUGUUGGAGUUGGAGUAGCUGCUUCCAUUACAUGAUCAUCAGUUUUCUGCUUCAAGGGAGAACAAGGAUCCCACUACUGAAAAAUUCUCUAGCCGGCAGAUUCACAGGUUCCAUCUGGAGCGUACUUUUCCAUAUGAUAAACACAUAGUUUUGAUUAUAUAGUUUUCUAACUAAUAAUUACUAAGCAUGGAACAAAGGUCAUUUAAAAUAAACUCCUGCCACAAAUGUUGGAGUAUUUCUUCAGAGUAAUUUGAGUGAUGAAAAAGGGAAUAAGAACCUCCAAAAUA